The sequence is a ribosomal RNA, 437 nucleotides long. It matches the Rfam family "Bacterial small subunit ribosomal RNA", at positions 341 to 792 of the family's 1533-position model.
ACGGGAGGCAGCAGUGGGGAAUAUUGGGCAAUGGGCGAAAGCCUGACCCAGCGACGCCGCGUGAAGGAAGAAGAUUUUCGGAUUGUAAACUUUAGUUAGCAGGGAAGAAGAAAGUGACGGUACCUGCAGAGAAAGCCACGGCUAACUACGUGCCAGCAGCCGCGGUAAUACGUAGGUGGCAAGCGUUAUCCGGAUUUACUGGGUGUAAAGGGUGUGUAGGCGGGAAGGCAAGUCAGAUGUGAAAAUUAUGGGCUCAACCCAUAACCUGCAUUUGAAACUGUUUUUCUUGAGUGUCGGAGAGGUAAUUGGAAUUCCCAGUGUAGCGGUGAAAUGCGUAGAUAUUGGGAGGAACACCAGUGGCGAAGGCGGAUUACUGGACGACAACUGACGCUGAGACACGAAAGCGUGGGGAGCAAACAGGAUUAGAUACCCUGGUA